RNAcentral lists this unclassified non-coding RNA (299 nucleotides) under Hevea brasiliensis (rubber tree). Lineage: Eukaryota; Viridiplantae; Streptophyta; Magnoliopsida; Malpighiales; Euphorbiaceae. The record is from RNAcentral.
AGGACGUAAGAUUCCAAGAGGAUCUACCACUAAAUCUGGAUGCAAGGGAUCCACCUUUCCCAUAGCAAGAAGUGCAUGAGGAGCACUUCCAGGGACGGAAUUGAAAUCUCCACACACUAACAUUGGAAUGUCUGCACUGGCAGCUAUUUUCUCCAAUCCUUUCAAAAGGGUGAGAACCUGCCAAAGCUUGACAUCCUUUAAAUCAUGAUGCACGUUCACGUGUGUGUUUGCAACACAAAGAAGCUGCCGUUUUCCAACAUUAUCAGCUCCUUGAUUACUGAAUUUUGCUUCCAAAACCA